AACGCAGAGUACAUGGGCUGCCUGCGCGAUGCGAGACUACGGACGGAACUUAAGCAUAUCAAUACGUCCAGGAAAAUAAAUCAAAAUGAGAUUGCUCUAGUAGCGGCGAGCGAAGAAGCAAGAGCCAGGCCUGAAUCCUACGGGAGUUGUGGGCGUGCCAUGAUAGUGUGCCACUUUUCUCUGGAACGAGGAGGUAUAAACAGUGAAACUCUGGUAGGCCACAAUCACCGGCUUGAACAGUAGUACUGCUUGAGAGUGUAGUACGAAUACAGGUGGUAUGUCCCAUCUAAGGCUAAAUACAGACCCUUGUCCGAUAGCGGAUUGAGUAGCGCGAGCGAAAGAUGAAAAGUAAACCUCUAAAGGUUGCUCAAAAGACGUGAAACCAUUGUGCAUAAGGGCAAGCGAUCGCACUAACCACUAUUAGUGGGCUGUCGUUUACCGCCCGUCUCGUAACACGGAUUAAGGAGUUACGCUUGACUGCAAGCUGUUGGGUGCAAGCCCAUUGGCGAAGCGAAAGCGAGAAAGUCCAGGCUAGUCUGGGGGCCUCUGCACGCAGAAACCCCCUCACAGAGUCGUCUGGCGUAAACCCGAAAGGUGGUGAUCUUUACGUGGACAAGGCGAAGCCAGUCGAAAGGCUGGUGGAGGCCUGCAGUAGUAUUGACGUGCAAAUCAUUUAUCCGAUCUGCGUAAAGGGGCGAAAGACUCAUCGAACUACCAGGUAGCUGGUUACGUACGAAAUUUCUCUCAGGAUAGCAACAGCGGACUAGCUCCGACGGGUAGAGAUAAUGAUUGGAAGAAAGUGACCUUCGGGUAUGCCCUUACUCUCAAACUUCGAACCGUCGAGAAUGCUGAUCCAUCCGUAAGGUGGAACUACAUCGAGUAUAACGCUGCUAGUGGGCCUCUCUGGGUAAGCCGGAUGGGCGAGGAGGAUUCAGCCUUAAGCACAGUUACAGUGCGCAAUUGGGGCGCAUGAGACUAAACGACGUGCGCCGAUCUUGACAGCAGGAAGGUGGCCAUAGAAGCUGGCAGCCUCUAAGGAGUGUGUUACAACUUACCUGCCGAAUCGGUGCGCUCGGAAAAUGGAUCGCGCUACAGCCCCAAACUUACACUGUGCUGACGUUUGACGUCAGGUAGUACGUGGUAGUGCAUGCGUUGAAGCUUAGCAGUGAUGCUGAGUAGAGCGCGCACUAGUCCAGAUCUUAAUUGGAGUAGCAAUUAGCCUGCAUGCAGGCCACCGACGAGGAGAAGGAUUCCGCAGCCACUAAAAUAGACUGCGGGUGACUCGGCCCUAAGCUCUAGGCGAAAGCCAACGUAAAAGGCGAAAGGGAAGCAGGCCAAUAUCCCUGCAGAUUACUUCGAAUGUGGUGACACGAAGUGUAGCUUCGAGGCGCGAAACCAGCGCGGCUGGAUCAUCGUACCAGCCUAACGACGACGCAUCUGUAGAAGAGCCCAGCUCCAGAUAUAGACGCAUAGACGUAACGCGACCGGGUAACCGGCCGUGUGCAUGUUUUCGUGCUCCGUGAAAGGAAGCUAACACGUAACGAAGUAGUACCGUACUGAUAACCGCAUCAGGUCUCCUAGGCUAGAAACCUUUGGUGUGAAGAUAACGCGUGUAAGGGAAGUCGGCAAAUCGGCUCUGUAACUUUGGGAUAAAGAGUGGCUCUGGGCGCUUGCACAAUAGUCAAAGUAUUGAGACCUACAUAAAGUGCUGACGUGGGUUCGCCUGCCAGGCAUCAGUGUGGAGAUCUUUACGCGAGGAUGGUGUUAAUGAGCAGCUCAGAACUGCUACUGACCAGGAGAACCCGACUGUAUAAUUAAAACAUAGCAUUUCGAUGUCCGCAGCCUGGAGUUUACGAAAUGUGAAUCCUGCCCAGUGCUAUGACUGUCAACGUGACGAGAGUCAUUCAAGCUCUGGUAAACGGCGGGAGUAACUAUGACUCUUUUAAGGUAGCCAAAUGCCUCGUCCAGUAAUUUUGGACGUGCAUGAAUGGAUUAAUGAGGUUCUUACUGUCCCUACAUGCACCUUCGCGAAACCACAGACUCGGGAACGGGCGAGUGGCAGCUUCAGCGGGGCAAGAAGACCCUGUUGAGCUUGACUCCAGCUAGGCCUUGUAGAACGGUGAUGGAGGUGUAGUGAACUGGGGAGGGUAACCGACAAUGCAACACCCAGACUCUAUUCAUUGUUCUGCUAAUCUGGUAAAAGACCCGAUUUUUGUCUGGGGCUUGCCAGUGACAUGACUUGGUGGGGAGUUUGGCUGGGGCGGCGCGCCUGCUAAAUUGCAACGCAGGCGUCCUAAAAGAAGCUCAGGCAGGACGGAAACCUGCCGUGGAGCAAAAGAGCAAAAGCUUCUCUGACUGCUUGCGUCAGUGGCGUAAGCAGCCGUGAAAGCGUGGUCUAUCGAUCCUUUACGAAUCUGGGCAUGAUUCUGGAGGUGACAGAAAAGUUACCACAGGGAUAACUGGCUUGUGGCCGCCAAGCGAUCAUAGCGACGUGGCUUUUUGAUUCUUCGAUGUCGGCUCUUCCUAUCAUUCUGAAGCAGCAUUCAGAAAGUGUCGGAUUGUUCACCCGUGCAAGGGAACGUGAGCUGGGUUUAGACCGUCGCGAGACAGGUUAGUUUUAUCCUACUGAAGCGCUCGCCCGCUAUCAGGAGUCCAGAUUAGUACGAGAGGAACAUUUGUACCGCAGCACUAGCUUAUAGCCUCGCCUGACAGGGCGCGGGCUGACGCCACCCUGCGGCAUGUUACAGCUGACUGCCUCUAAGCUGGAAUCUCAUCUGCACGCGGGCAGUGU
RNAcentral lists this ribosomal RNA (2791 nucleotides) under Spirostomum sp. Valltjaern. RNAcentral describes it as "eukaryotic LSU rRNA". It matches the Rfam family "Eukaryotic large subunit ribosomal RNA". Lineage: Eukaryota; Ciliophora; Heterotrichea; Heterotrichida; Spirostomidae. The record is from RNAcentral.